RNAcentral lists this ribosomal RNA (492 nucleotides) under uncultured bacterium. RNAcentral's name for it is "partial 16S ribosomal RNA". It matches the Rfam family "Bacterial small subunit ribosomal RNA", at positions 29 to 507 of the family's 1533-position model. The record is from RNAcentral.
AGUGAACGCUGGCGGUAGGCCUAACACAUGCAAGUCGAACGGCAGCACAGUAAGAGCUUGCUCUUACGGGUGGCGAGUGGCGGACGGGUGAGGAAUACAUCGGAGUCUACUUUUUCGUGGGGGAUAACGUAGGGAAACUUACGCUAAUACCGCAUACGACCUACGGGUGAAAGCAGGGGAUCUUCGGACCUUGCGCGUUUGAAUGAGCCGAUGUCGGAUUAGCUAGUUGGCGGGGUAAAGGCCCACCAAGGCGACGAUCCGUAGCUGGUCUGAGAGGAUGAUCAGCCACACUGGAACUGAGACACGGUCCAGACUCCUACGGGAGGCAGCAGUGGGGAAUAUUGGACAAUGGGCGCAAGCCUGAUCCAGCCAUACCGCGUGGGUGAAGAAGGCCUUCGGGUUGUAAAGCCCUUUUGUUGGGAAAGAAAAGCAGCAGGUUAAUACCCCGCUGUUCUGACGGUACCCAAAGAAUAAGCACCGGCUAACUUCGUG